This 439-nucleotide unclassified non-coding RNA is filed under the name soil metagenome. RNAcentral's name for it is "partial contains 5.8S ribosomal RNA, internal transcribed spacer 2, and large subunit ribosomal RNA". The stretch from base 1 to 120 matches the Rfam family "5.8S ribosomal RNA", at positions 35 to 154 of the family's 154-position model. The record is from RNAcentral.
GAUGAAGAACGCAGCGAAAUGCGAUAAGUAAUGUGAAUUGCAGAAUUCAGUGAAUCAUCGAAUCUUUGAACGCAUCUUGCGCUCCUUGGCAUUCCGAGGAGCACGCCUGUUUGAGUGUCAUUAAAUUCCUCAAAUCCUCCAAUCUUGCCCACCCAGGGCUGGAGUGGUUGGUUUGGAUCGUUGGAGGCUUCUGCAUGCAGGCUCGCUUCGAAGGGCCUGCUCCUCUGAAAUGCAUUAGCAAUGGCCGUGGUGUUGUUGUGCACCCGUCGUCGUCGUUGGCAUGGUAAAAAUACUUGUUAUUUUGUGCCACUUGACACAGACAACCACCUCCCAUGCUUCUAAUCUGGCCACCCGUUUUCUCGGUGCCCUUGAUGACCAUUUUGACCUCAAAUCAGGUGGGACUACCCGCUGAACUUAAGCAUAUCCAAUAAGCGGAGGA